CGGGGCGUGGCGGAACAGGCAGACGCGGCGGUCUCAGAAACCGUUGUCGAAAGACGUGCGGGUUCAAAUCCCGCCGCCCCGA
This 82-nucleotide transfer RNA is filed under the name Caudoviricetes sp. RNAcentral describes it as "tRNA-Leu". It matches the Rfam family "tRNA". Rfam says of the family: Transfer RNA (tRNA) molecules are approximately 80 nucleotides in length. Lineage: Duplodnaviria; Heunggongvirae; Uroviricota; Caudoviricetes. The record is from RNAcentral.